GCUUCAGGAAUCCCGCCCACGGGGAUGCCUCGGGCAACGGGGAGCGACGAAGGGUGUGGCCCGCCACAGAAGGCCCCGGGAGCCGCGGCGCAGGCUGCGAUCCGGGGUGCCUGAAUCGGGGAACCGCCGGUCCGUCAUGGGACCGGACGGCCGGCCAGGGGCCGGCCGGGCUCAAACCGGGGAAGCGAACCAUCGUACGUACCCGGGACGCCGAAGCAAGCAGCGAGCCCCGGAGUAGUGGCGAGCGAAACGGGGUCAGGCCCAAACGGCCGGGAACUACCGCCAGGCGGGGCGGCCCGGCCGGGUGCGGCCGGAUCGCGGCGGGGGCCGCCUGCCCCGGCCUCCGGGACCCGGCGGGGGCGACGGAAGCGCGCUGGAACGCGCCAUCCGAGAGGGUGACAAUCCCGUACGCCGCUGCCGCCGGGCCCGGAUCCGGCCCGAGUACCGCGCCGGCACGGGCGCGGGAAGCGGGGAGGACCACCUUCCAAGGCCGGGCGUCGUCGUUGCACCGAUAGCGCAGAGUACCGUGAGGGAACGGUGAAAAGCCCCCGGGGGGCGCGUGCAAGAGACCUGAAACCGUGGGCGGGCAGGCCGUCAGCGGCGGGCCCCGGGGAGCCGGGGCCGGCUCAUGGCGUGCUUCUGGAAGAAUGAACCGGCGAGUGGUCCGGGCUCGCGAGGUUAAGCGCCGGGGGCGCGGAGCCGGAGCGCAAGCGAGUCCGCAGGGGGCGUCAGUGGGUCCGGGCCGACCCGAAGCCGCGUGAUCUAGCCCCCGCCAGGCUGAAGGCGCGGUAAGACGCGCUGGAGGGCCGCACCCAUGUUCGUUGCAAAGGGCUGGGAGGAGCGGGGGCUAGGGGUGAAAUGCCAAGCGAACGCGGGGCUAGCUGGUUCUCCCCGAAAUCGCUGGAGGGCGAGCCGUGGGGAUCCUUGCCGGCGGGGUAGCGCACUGUGACUGGAAGGGGGUCGCGAGGCCUACUGCCCGGUCGCAAACGGCGAAGUCGCCGGCCGGCUCCACGCGUCAGUCGGUGGGGGAUAAGCUCCAUCGACGAGAGGGCAACCGCCCAGACCGUCCGCUAAGGGCCCCAAGUGCCCGCUGAGUGGGAAAGGUCGUCGGGCGCCGCAGACAGCCAGGAGGUUGGCUUAGAAGCAGCCACCCUCGAACGAGUGCGUAACAGCUCACUGGCCGGAGGCGCCCGGCGCCGCCAAUGGACGGGCUAAGGGGGGUGCCGAUGCGGCGGCUGGUCCGCGUAGGCGGACCGGGGUAGGGGAGCGUCCGGCGCGGGCGAAGCGGGCGCGGCAAGCGCCCGUGGACCGCGCUGGAGUGCGAAUGCCGGUAUGAGUAGCAGCGAAGGCGAGUGAGAAUCUCGCCCACCGAAAGCCGCAGGGUUCCGCAGGCAGGAUCGUCCGCUGCGGGGGAGGCGGGCCUAAGCCGAGGCGGCGGGUGCCGCGUAGGCGACCGGACAGCCGGUGGCGAUUCCGGCCCCGGGGCCGGGCGGCGAAGGCCGGGGGACGCCGGCGGUACCAGGCGGGUCCGUGUUGGUCAUCGGACCCGGGCGGUGCCGCGGGCCGCGAAAAGCCCGGACCGGAGCCCGGUCCCGUCCGUACUGCAAACCAACCCAGGUCGGCCGGGCGAGGAGCCCGAGGUGUGCGAGUGAUCUCCCGUUAAGGAACUCGGCCAAUUGCCCCCGUAACUUCGGGAGAAGGGGGCCCGGCGGCGGACGCCGCCGGGGGCACAAAGCAGGCCCAAGCGACUGUUUACCACAAACACCGGUCCCUGCGAAGUCGCAAGACGCCGUAUAGGGGCUGACGCCUGCCCGGUGCUGGACGGUGAAGGGGAGGCGUGGGCGCGCCGAACCGAAGCCCCAGUCAACGGCGGCCGUAACUAUAACGGUCCUAAGGUAGCGAAAUUCCUUGUCGGGUAAGUUCCGACCCGCACGAAAGGCGGAACGACUUGGGCACUGUCUCAACGGGAGGCUCGGCGAAAUUGCAAGCCCGGUGAAGAUGCCGGGGAUCGACGACGGGACAGAAAGACCCCGUGGAGCUUGACUGUAGCCUGCCAUGGAGCGUCGGCGGCGCGUGUACAGGAUAGGUGGGACGCGGCGAAGCCCGCCCGCCAGGGCGGGGGGAGCGGCCGGUGGGAUACCACCCUCGCGCGGCCGGGGCUCUCACCGACGGCGAGACCCGCCGCGGGACCGUGGCAGGGGGGCAGUUUGACUGGGGCGGUCGCCUCCUAAAAGGUAACGGAGGCGCCCCAUGGUACCCUUGGCACGGUUGGACACCGUGCGGGACGUGCAAAGGCAGAAGGGUGCUUGACUGCGAGCCCGACGGGGCGAGCAGGGCCGAAAGGCGGGCUUAGUGAUCCGAUGGCCCGGCGUGGGACGGCCAUCGCGCAUCGGACAAAAGCUACCCCGGGGAUAACAGGCUGAUCGUUCCCGAGAGUCCGCAUCGACGGGACGGUUUGGCACCUCGAUGUCGGCUCAUCGCAUCCUGGGGCUGGAGUCGGUCCCAAGGGUUGGGCUGUUCGCCCAUUAAAGCGGUACGUGAGCUGGGUUCAGAACGUCGUGAGACAGUUCGGUCCCUCUCCAUCGUCGACGCAGGAUCCGUGCGGGGGGCGUCCGCUAGUACGAGAGGACCGCGGAGGACGGACCGCUGGUGUGCCCAGUUGCCCCGCCCGGGGCAGCGCUGGGAAGCUAGGUCCGGCACGGCGAAGCGCUGACCGCAUCUAAGCGCGAAGCCGGCCCCAAGAGGACGGAUCCGGGGGUGCUGGGGGAACCCGGCGCCCCCGACCACCGGGAGACGACCGGAGGCCGACGUGCCGUGGACACCGGGUAACCGGCGCAGCGAGCACGCCCGGCAGGUCGGCGGGAAGCUGCU
This 2871-nucleotide ribosomal RNA is filed under the name Candidatus Hydrogenisulfobacillus filiaventi. Its description in RNAcentral is "Firmicutes bacterium R50 ribosomal RNA 23s ribosomal RNA". It matches the Rfam family "Bacterial large subunit ribosomal RNA". The record is from RNAcentral. Lineage: Bacteria; Bacillati; Bacillota; Clostridia; Eubacteriales; Clostridiales Family XVII. Incertae Sedis.